UACGGAGGGUGCAAGCGUUGCUCGGAAUUAUUGGGCGUAAAGGGUAGGUAGGUGGUCUCAUUUGUCUGGGGUGAAAGCCUUGAGCUUAACUCAAGAAGUGCCCCAGAAACGGUGAGACUAGAGUCUUGGAGAGGGUCGUGGAAUUCCCGGUGUAGCGGUGAAAUGCGUAGAGAUCGGGAGGAACACCAGAGGCGAAGGCGGCGACCUGGACAAGUACUGACACUCAACUACGAAAGCAUGGGGAGCAAACAGG
RNAcentral lists this ribosomal RNA (253 nucleotides) under uncultured bacterium. Its description in RNAcentral is "partial 16S ribosomal RNA". It matches the Rfam family "Bacterial small subunit ribosomal RNA", at positions 524 to 776 of the family's 1533-position model. The record is from RNAcentral.